UUCAGUUGUCACUUGUACCGUUUUCGAUAAGGUAUGUCCUACUUUUACCUUAGUAUUAGUACUUAGUAGUAAAUUAAUAAUUAUUAUUUAAUAAUUAUUGUUACUCAUAAGUGAGUAUAAAUGCAUUGGAGACUAGGUACUCUUUCACUCGCACGUGCACGCAUGUUACAUAUGCGACAGCUGUUUAAGGUUGAUCGGACCUAGUAUUACAUCAUUAGCACAGAUAUGUCAUAUGAAGAGGAAAGUAUAGAAAAAAAAUAAAAAUAAAAUUCACACAGAAUAAAUCAUACCAAAAGGACAUGGUGGA
Long non-coding RNA from Sipha flava (yellow sugarcane aphid), 307 nucleotides. RefSeq lists it as uncharacterized. The transcript is spliced from 3 exons. Lineage: Eukaryota; Metazoa; Arthropoda; Insecta; Hemiptera; Aphididae. The record is from RefSeq and is a predicted model, not a curated record.